UACGUAGGGUGCGAGCGUUGUCCGGAAUUAUUGGGCGUAAAGAGCUCGUAGGCGGUCUGUCGCGUCGGCUGUGAAAACCCGGGGCUCAACCCCGGGCCUGCAGUCGAUACGGGCAGACUAGAGUGCGGUAGGGGAGACUGGAAUUCCUGGUGUAGCGGUGAAAUGCGCAGAUAUCAGGAGGAACACCGGUGGCGAAGGCGGUUCUCUGGGCCUUACCUGACGCUGAGGAGCGAAAGCGUGGGGAGCAAACAGG
RNAcentral lists this ribosomal RNA (253 nucleotides) under uncultured bacterium. RNAcentral's name for it is "partial 16S ribosomal RNA". It matches the Rfam family "Bacterial small subunit ribosomal RNA", at positions 524 to 776 of the family's 1533-position model. The record is from RNAcentral.